RNAcentral lists this ribosomal RNA (552 nucleotides) under uncultured bacterium. RNAcentral's name for it is "bacterial SSU rRNA". It matches the Rfam family "Bacterial small subunit ribosomal RNA", at positions 407 to 956 of the family's 1533-position model. The record is from RNAcentral.
GGUGAGGCCUUCGGGUUGUAAACCUCUUUCGCCAGUGAAGCAGGCCUGCUCCUUGUGGGUGGGUUGACGGUAGCUGGAUAAGAAGCGCCGGCUAACUACGUGCCAGCAGCCGCGGUAAUACGUAGGUGGCAAGCGUUAUCCGGAAUUAUUGGGCGUAAAGCGCGCGUAGGCGGUAAAAUAAGUCUGAUGUGAAAGCCCCCGGCUCAACCGGGGAGGGUCAUUGGAAACUGUUUUACUUGAGUACAGAAGAGGAGAGUGGAAUUCCAUGUGUAGCGGUGAAAUGCGCAGAGAUGUGGAGGAACACCAGUGGCGAAGGCGACUUUCUGGUCUGUAACUGACGCUGAUGUGCGAAAGCGUGGGGAUCAAACAGGAUUAGAUACCCUGGUAGUCCACGCCGUAAACGAUGAGUGCUAAGUGUUAGGGGGUUUCCGCCCCUUAGUGCUGCAGCUAACGCAUUAAGCACUCCGCCUGGGGAGUACGACCGCAAGGUUGAAACUCAAAGGAAUUGACGGGGACCCGCACAAGCGGUGGAGCAUGUGGUCGACGCGGCCG